This 299-nucleotide unclassified non-coding RNA is filed under the name uncultured fungus. RNAcentral's name for it is "sequence contains ITS2". The record is from RNAcentral. Lineage: Eukaryota; Fungi.
AACGCAUAUUGCGCUCUCUGGUAUUCCGGGGAGCAUACCUGUUUCAGCAUCAUUGGAACAUCUCAAAAUCGUUUGUUUUUGAUGAUUUUGGAAAGCUGGGCUUUUCUGUUGUGUGCUUAAUACAACUAGCCUGAAAUUUGUGAUAAAUGAAAUGCAAGAAAACAUGUAGUUGCUUUGUUGCAAAAGACGAAAAGCUAAUUAGAUGACCGUGGUCAAACUUGCUGACUAGUCUUCAAAACUAGGCGAAUCUACAUUCACAAAUUGAUCUGAAAUCAGGUAGGAUUACCCGCUGAACUUAA